Molecule: ribosomal RNA, 440 nt
Filed under: uncultured bacterium
Lineage: Bacteria
Description: partial 16S ribosomal RNA
Rfam family: Bacterial small subunit ribosomal RNA
Source: RNAcentral
CCUACGGGUGGCAGCAGUAGGGAAUAUUGCUCAAUGGGGGAAACCCUGAAGCAGCAACACCGCGUGGGGGAAGAAGGUUUUAGGAUUGUAAAACCCUUUUGUGAGAGAAGAAAAUGACGGUAUCUCACGAAUAAGCACCGGCUAACUCCGUGCCAGCAGCCGCGGUAAUACGGAGGGCGCAAGCGUUAGUCGGAAUGACUGGGCGUAAAGGGGGCGCAGGUGGGUUUGUAAGUCCGAUGUGAAAGCCCGUGGCUUAACUACAGAACUGCAUUUGAAACUAGGGGUCUAGAGUGUAGGAGAGGUAGGUGGAAUUCGUGGUGUAGCGGUGAAAUCCGUAGAUAUCAAGAGGAACACUCAUUGCGAAGGCGACCUUCUGGAACAUUACUGACGCUCAUGCACGAAAGCGUGGGGAGCAAACAGGAUUAGAUACCCCUGUAGUC